This 468-nucleotide ribosomal RNA is filed under the name uncultured bacterium. Its description in RNAcentral is "partial 16S ribosomal RNA". It matches the Rfam family "Bacterial small subunit ribosomal RNA", at positions 28 to 507 of the family's 1533-position model. The record is from RNAcentral.
GACGAACGCUGGCGGCGUGCUUAACACAUGCAAGUCGAACGGAAAGGCCCUGCUUUUGUGGGGUGCUCGAGUGGCGAACGGGUGAGUAACACGUGAGUAACCUGCCCUUGACUUUGGGAUAACUUCAGGAAACUGGGGCUAAUACCGGAUAGGAGCUCCUGCUGCAUGGGGGGGGUUGGAAAGUUUCGGCGGUUGGGGAUGGACUCGCGGCUUAUCAGCUUGUGGGUGGGGUAGUGGCUUACCAAGGCUUUGACGGGUAGCCGGCCUGAGAGGGUGACCGGCCACAUUGGGACUGAGAUACGGCCCAGACUCCUACGGGAGGCAGCAGUGGGGAAUAUUGCACAAUGGGCGGAAGCCUGAUGCAGCAACGCCGCGUGCGGGAUGACGGCCUUCGGGUUGUAAACCGCUUUCGCCUGUGACGAAGCGUGAGUGACGGUAAUGGGUAAAGAAGCACCGGCUAACUACGUG